UGAGGAAUAUUGGGUCAAUGGACGAGAGUCUGAACCAGCCAAGUAGCGUGCAGGAUGACGGCCCUAUGGGUUGUAAACUGCUUUUAUAAGGGAAUAAAGUGGGGCUCGUGAGCUCUUUUGCAUGUACCUUAUGAAUAAGGACCGGCUAAUUCCGUGCCAGCAGCCGCGGUAAUACGGAAGGUCCGGGCGUUAUCCGGAUUUAUUGGGUUUAAAGGGAGCGUAGGCCGCAGGUUAAGCGUGUUGUGAAAUGUAGGGGCUCAACCUCUGCACUGCAGCGCGAACUGGCUUGCUUGAGUACGCACAACGUGGGCGGAAUUCGUGGUGUAGCGGUGAAAUGCUUAGAUAUUACGAAGAACUCCGAUUGCGAAGGCAGCUAUCUGGGGUGCAACUGACGCUGAGGCUCGAAGGUGUGGGUAUCAAACAGGAUUAGAUACCCUGGUAGU
RNAcentral lists this ribosomal RNA (443 nucleotides) under uncultured Prevotella sp. RNAcentral describes it as "bacterial SSU rRNA". It matches the Rfam family "Bacterial small subunit ribosomal RNA", at positions 355 to 794 of the family's 1533-position model. Lineage: Bacteria; Pseudomonadati; Bacteroidota; Bacteroidia; Bacteroidales; Prevotellaceae. The record is from RNAcentral.